Molecule: long non-coding RNA, 346 nt
Organism: Psammomys obesus (fat sand rat)
Lineage: Eukaryota; Metazoa; Chordata; Mammalia; Rodentia; Muridae
Exons: 3
Source: RefSeq, a predicted model, not a curated record
ACUUGCUCCCGUCAUCAGCUGCUGCUACUAUCAAUACCUUGUGUCAGCAGAGAUCCCCUGUUGAACCAACACCGACAAGUCUCAUCACCCCAAGUCCGCAGGUUAUGUUAGAGUUCACUCUUGGUGCUACAAGCCCACCUGUCUAUAGAUGGCACCACCCAGAGUGAAUUGGGUACUCUUGCAUCAAUUAGCAAUGAAGAAAAAUCUUCAUCAACACAACCACAGGGCAAUCUGAUCCGGGCAAUUCUUCAGUUGAGGUUCCUUCUUUCCCGGUGACUGUAGGUCCCACCAUGUACCUGCAAAUUUCCUGAGGGGGGAGCAGCCUUACCAGGCCACAGAAGAGGAC